GGGGAUGAGAGGUUGCUAUGGUGACCAGAUACCAGUGUUGGGAAGCUCUAACCUGCCCCAACAGGAGAAGUCAGCUCAGCUUCUUCCAUGUUUCUGAAUUAUCAGGAUGAGAUGGACAUCAGAAUUGUUCUGCCAGAUGCUAAUUAAAUAAUUUAAAAUAUUAGCAAACCAGAAGAAACAGGCCUGAUUUGGCACAUAGCCCCACAGUUUUGGACCAAGGCUGUCAGGGUUGCUGGUGAGAUGGGCAGACUGUGGCUUCCGAAGGAUAAAGGAACAAGAAAUAUGCCACCAAACAUCCUCCAAUGCAUAGGACAGCCCCCAACAGAGAGCCAUCAGCACAGACUGUCAAUGGUGCCGAGGGUGGGGAGUUCUGCCCUGCCAGGCUGGGUGCUUCCUGCCUGUUUGAGAUUGUCCAGUACCUUACAGAAUGUGUGCACAUGUACCCCUGCACUCUUAACCCAGAGUGAUUCAGUAUGAGAUUGUCACUUAAUGUGUAGCGGGUGCCACCACUUCACCCAAAACACAUUCUGGCCAGUUCUGAACUGCCUCCUCCUGUUCCCAAGGUAAUUCUCAAAUCAGAGAUGUUUUUACAAGUACUGCCUCCUCUCUGCCCACCCUUCCUGCUUGUUCCCAGUCUUUCUGGGAGAAAAGUGCAGCCUAAAUAUUAGUUAUUAUCAUGGUGACAAGAUUACCAGGGGAUUGUAUCUAAAAUGUUUUAUUCCAAGUAUGAUCAGUGGGGCUCUUCAGGAAAGAAACAAACAAGCUCAUUUUAUUUAUGCUGAAAGCUCCCCAUUUAGAACCCAAUUUCCUGCCUCCAUAACCCCCAUACUCUCCCCCAGUCCUGAGGUUUCUCUCCUGUGAAGGGCGGCCUUGAGGACAGUGUCUAGGACUCAGAGUCCUUGACUGUACCCAGUGCUCCUUCCCCAGGAGCCAGGACUCUUGGGAGUGUGUCUGCCAUUUAUUAUCUGAUUAGUCUCUCCAAGGGCAUCUUCAUUUGUCCUUCCCAGGCACGUUUCCAUUCAGACAGU
RNAcentral lists this long non-coding RNA (1028 nucleotides) under Marmota monax (woodchuck). Lineage: Eukaryota; Metazoa; Chordata; Mammalia; Rodentia; Sciuridae. The record is from RNAcentral.